AACGAACGCUGGCGGCAUGCCUAACACAUGCAAGUCGAACGAGACCUUCGGUCCAAGGGCGCAAGGGUGCGUAAAGCCGUGGAAACUGCCCUUAGGGUCGGGAAAAACCCCCGAAAGGGGUGCUAAUACCGGGAAAAGUCCUCGGACCAAAGAUUUAUCGCCUUUGGAUGGGCCCGCGUUGGAUUAGCUAGUUGGUAGGGGAAAAGCCUACCAAGGCGACGAUCCAUAGCUGGUCUGAGAGGAUGAUCAGCCACACUGGGACUGAGACACGGCCCAGACUCCUACGGGAGGCAGCAGUGGGGAAUAUUGGACAAUGGGCGAAAGCCUGAUCCAGCAAUGCCGCGUGAGUGAUGAAGGCCUUAGGGUUGUAAAGCUCUUUUACCCGGGAUGAUAAUGACAGUACCGGGAGAAUAAGCUCCGGCUAACUCCGUG
Molecule: ribosomal RNA, 432 nt
Filed under: uncultured bacterium
Lineage: Bacteria
Description: partial 16S ribosomal RNA
Rfam family: Bacterial small subunit ribosomal RNA
Source: RNAcentral